This 253-nucleotide ribosomal RNA is filed under the name uncultured bacterium. RNAcentral describes it as "partial 16S ribosomal RNA". It matches the Rfam family "Bacterial small subunit ribosomal RNA", at positions 524 to 776 of the family's 1533-position model. The record is from RNAcentral.
UACGAAGGGGGCUAGCGUUGUUCGGAUUUACUGGGCGUAAAGCGCAUGUAGGCGGAUCGUUAAGUCGGGGGUGAAAUCCUGGAGCUCAACUCCAGAACUGCCUUCGAUACUGGCGAUCUCGAGUCCGGAAGAGGUGAGUGGAACUCCUAGUGUAGAGGUGGAAUUCGUAGAUAUUAGGAAGAACACCAGUGGCGAAGGCGGCUCACUGGUCCGGUACUGACGCUGAGGUGCGAAAGCGUGGGGAGCAAACAGG